AGUGAACGCUGGCGGUAGGCCUAACACAUGCAAGUCGAACGGCAGCACAGUAAGAGCUUGCUCUUACGGGUGGCGAGUGGCGGACGGGUGAGGAAUACAUCGGAAUCUACUUUUUCGUGGGGGUUAACGUAGGGAAACUUACGCUAAUACCGCAUACGACCUACGGGUGAAAGCAGGGGAUCUUCGGACCUUGCGCGAUUGAAUGAGCCGAUGUCGGAUUAGCUAGUUGGCGGGGUAAAGGCCCACCAAGGCGACGAUCCGUAGCUGGUCUGAGAGGAUGAUCAGCCACACUGGAACUGAGACACGGUCCAGACUCCUACGGGAGGCAGCAGUGGGGAAUAUUGGACAAUGGGCGAAAGCCUGAUCCAGCCAUACCGCGUGGGUGAAGAAGGCCUUCGGGUUGUAAAGCCCUUUUGUUGGGAAAGAAAAGCAGCAGGUUAAUACCCCGCUGUUCUGACGGUACCAAAAGAAUAAGCACCGGCUAACUUCGUG
RNAcentral lists this ribosomal RNA (492 nucleotides) under uncultured bacterium. RNAcentral's name for it is "partial 16S ribosomal RNA". It matches the Rfam family "Bacterial small subunit ribosomal RNA", at positions 29 to 507 of the family's 1533-position model. The record is from RNAcentral.